AGCUCUUUUCAAAGAGGGCUUGGGGGCUGCAAAAUGAAGAGGUCUUAACAGUAUGACCGAAGACUCGCGUUCUCAACAGUUCCAUGUUUUCCGCACGAGAUACGACU
RNAcentral lists this small nucleolar RNA (107 nucleotides) under Aotus nancymaae (Ma's night monkey). Its description in RNAcentral is "Small nucleolar RNA SNORA25 (ENSANAG00000007824.1)". Lineage: Eukaryota; Metazoa; Chordata; Mammalia; Primates; Aotidae. The record is from RNAcentral.